RNAcentral lists this non-coding RNA (183 nucleotides) under Shewanella sp. Bg11-22. RNAcentral describes it as "6S RNA". It matches the Rfam family "6S / SsrS RNA". From Rfam's summary of the family: E. coli 6S RNA was the first non coding RNA to be sequenced, but its function was unknown until recently. It consists of 184 nucleotides that fold into an extended hairpin structure with a large single-stranded internal bulge. Lineage: Bacteria; Pseudomonadati; Pseudomonadota; Gammaproteobacteria; Alteromonadales; Shewanellaceae. The record is from RNAcentral. RNAcentral also lists the same sequence under 2 other names.
UGCUCCCUGGGAUUCGCGCUAGCUGGCAAUGUCCCUGUGCCGAUAUUUACAAAACCCAGGGUGAACGUUUUACUGACAUUGUGCAAGCUCGGCUCGUAUCGAGAAGCCUUAGGAAGUAUGCGUUUACCCGCCUUGAACUACGGUUCAAGGGCUACGUCAAGCGGUCGGUGUUCCGGGGAGCAA